ACAUCUCUCUCUGCCUCAGCCUGUGGCAUGAACGUGUAAGGCAGUUAGUGUUCCUUAACAUAUGAGCACAGAGUUUCUAGAAGAUUUCACCAAAGAACCAAGAGUCUAGAGGAACAGCCCUCUCAGCUUUGGUUUAUUAGAGAACAAAACCAACCGCUUCUUCUCAGCCAGCCAUGCUCUCGGCUUCCUGCUCAGGACUUAUGAUCUUGUUGAUAUUUGGAAGGACCAAAGGAGAGUCAGUGACCCAGUCAGAGGGUCUGAUUACCCUCCUGGAGGAGGCACCUCUGACCCUGAACUGCACUUAUCAGAGCAGGUAUUCCACUGUCCUCUUCUGGUAUGUCCAGCAUCAAAACAAAGCACCUCAGCUCCUCCUGAAAAGCUCAUCAGAAAACCAGGAAGUGGACAGCAGAGGAUUCCAGGCCACUCAUGUUAAGAGUGACAGCUCCUUCCACCUGCAGAAACCCUCAGUACAAACAUCAGACUCGGCUGUGUACUACUGUGUUCUGAGUGACACAGUGAGAGGGACUGCAGGAGGAGCUGAGCACAAACCCUAAGCACAGCUGGGGCCUCAGGUGGGCAGCCCUGGGAGAAGUGUGCUAUUUCCUCUCCAGACAGUGCUCUACACUGGAGACAUCCUCAAAGUAACUUCUGGCUCUAAGCCCAGGAACUUUGAAGUUCUUGAGCCUCAGAACCAAGAAACCUUGAGGUUCUUGGAUUACUCUACAAAGAGGAACUGGGGGAGGGAUAUUGUAAAGAGAAACAUGAAUUCUGUUCUCCAGAAGUGCCUCUUUUCUCAGCCAAAUUGUUCCUCUUCCCCCCAUAUGGUGUACAUUCCUGGGAAGUCACAGUAACUGUAUUCAGGGGUCAAUGCUGAAAUACUUCACAGCUUAUUAAUAAAAAUCCUC
Molecule: non-coding RNA, 905 nt
Organism: Choloepus didactylus (southern two-toed sloth)
Lineage: Eukaryota; Metazoa; Chordata; Mammalia; Pilosa; Megalonychidae
Source: the annotation of a RefSeq genome assembly